Gopherus evgoodei (Goodes thornscrub tortoise) is the source of this 113-nucleotide long non-coding RNA. RefSeq lists it as uncharacterized. The record is from RefSeq and is a predicted model, not a curated record. Lineage: Eukaryota; Metazoa; Chordata; Testudines; Testudinidae. The transcript has 3 exons.
AUCCUAUUUACUUCAGACCAUUUCUCCAGUUUGUCCAGAUCAUUUUGAAUUUUAAUCCUAUCCUACAAAGCACUUGCACUGUCUCCUAGCUUGGUAUUAUCCACAUUUUCUAG